UAAGGUUUUAUCUUAAUUAAAGUGUCUGGGUUGCAUUCAGAAUAUGUAAGAUAAAAUUUUACAAAUCUUA
This 70-nucleotide transfer RNA is filed under the name Desmognathus orestes (Blue Ridge dusky salamander). RNAcentral's name for it is "tRNA-Ala". It matches the Rfam family "tRNA". From Rfam's summary of the family: Transfer RNA (tRNA) molecules are approximately 80 nucleotides in length. Their secondary structure includes four short double-helical elements and three loops (D, anti-codon, and T loops). Lineage: Eukaryota; Metazoa; Chordata; Amphibia; Caudata; Plethodontidae. The record is from RNAcentral.